This 253-nucleotide ribosomal RNA is filed under the name uncultured bacterium. Its description in RNAcentral is "partial 16S ribosomal RNA". It matches the Rfam family "Bacterial small subunit ribosomal RNA", at positions 524 to 776 of the family's 1533-position model. The record is from RNAcentral.
UACGAAGGGGGCUAGCGUUGCUCGGAAUCACUGGGCGUAAAGCGCACGUAGGCGGAUUUUUAAGUCAGGGGUGAAAUCCUGGAGCUCAACUCCAGAACUGCCUUUGAUACUGAGGAUCUUGAGUUCGGGAGAGGUGAGUGGAACUGCGAGUGUAGAGGUGAAAUUCGUAGAUAUUCGCAAGAACACCAGUGGCGAAGGCGGCUCACUGGCCCGAUACUGACGCUGAGGCACGAAAGCGUGGGGAGCAAACAGG